RNAcentral lists this ribosomal RNA (445 nucleotides) under uncultured bacterium. RNAcentral's name for it is "partial 16S ribosomal RNA". It matches the Rfam family "Bacterial small subunit ribosomal RNA", at positions 354 to 796 of the family's 1533-position model. The record is from RNAcentral.
GUGAGGAAUAUUGCGCAAUGGAGGCAACUCUGACGCAGCCAUGCCGCGUGCAGGAAGAAGGCGCUACGCGUUGUAAACUGCUUUUAACCGGGAAGAAACCCCAGGACGUGUCCUGGGUUGACGGUACCGGAGGAAUAAGCACCGGCUAACUUCUUGCCAGCAGCCGCGGUAAUACGAAGGGUGCAAGCGUUAUCCGGAUUCAUUGGGUUUAAAGGGUGCGUAGGCGGAGCGUUAAGUCAGUGGUGAAAUCCUGCAGCUUAACUGUAGACUUGCCAUUGAUACUGGCGCUCUUGAGUGCGCUUGAAGUGGGCGGAAUGUGCCGUGUAGCGGUGAAAUGCUUAGAUAUGGCACAGAACACCAAUUGCGAAGGCAGCUCACUAAGGCGAUACUGACGCUGAGGCACGAAAGCGUGGGGAUCGAACAGGAUUAGAAACCCGUGUAGUCC